GGCGGGAUAGAGCAGCGGACAGCUCGUCCGGUUCCUAACCGGAAGGUCGGUGGUUCGAGUCCACCUCCCGCUA
RNAcentral lists this transfer RNA (73 nucleotides) under Phycisphaerae bacterium. RNAcentral describes it as "tRNA-Arg". It matches the Rfam family "tRNA". From Rfam's summary of the family: Transfer RNA (tRNA) molecules are approximately 80 nucleotides in length. Their secondary structure includes four short double-helical elements and three loops (D, anti-codon, and T loops). Lineage: Bacteria; Pseudomonadati; Planctomycetota; Phycisphaerae. The record is from RNAcentral.